ACAAGCGGUGGAGCAUGUGGUUUAAUUCGACGCAACGCGAAGAACCUUACCAGGGCUUGACAUCCCCUGACCGCGUAUGAAAGUACGUUUUCACCCUCGGGUGACAGGGAGACAGGUGGUGCAUGGUUGUCGUCAGCUCGUGUCGUGAGAUGUUGGGUUAAGUCCCGCAACGAGCGCAACCCCUACGUUUAGUUGCUAACGCGUGAAGGCGAGCACUCUAGACGAACUGCCGUUGACAAAACGGAGGAAGGUGGGGAUGACGUCAAAUCAUCAUGCCCCUUAUGUUCUGGGCUACACACGUGCUACAAUGGCCGGUACAGACGGACGCAAAGCCGCGAGGUGGAGCAAAUCCUAAAAAAGCCGGUCUCAGUUCGGAUUGCAGGCUGCAAUUCGCCUGCAUGAAGUCGGAAUCGCUAGUAAUCGCAGGUCAGCAUACUGCGGUCGAAUACGUUCCCGGGCCUU
This 462-nucleotide ribosomal RNA is filed under the name uncultured Pelotomaculum sp. RNAcentral describes it as "bacterial SSU rRNA". It matches the Rfam family "Bacterial small subunit ribosomal RNA", at positions 925 to 1382 of the family's 1533-position model. Lineage: Bacteria; Bacillati; Bacillota; Clostridia; Eubacteriales; Desulfotomaculaceae. The record is from RNAcentral.